This is a long non-coding RNA of Clupea harengus (Atlantic herring), 502 nucleotides long. The record is from Ensembl. NCBI's taxonomy places the organism in Eukaryota, Metazoa, Chordata, Actinopteri, Clupeiformes, Clupeidae.
GUGGCCCACUGGAUGGAUUGCUUUUUCGCAGGCUUUUAUAUGUUUGAAUAUGAAGUUGACCCGGAAUAUUCUGGCAGACCCUUUUUAAAAAGUCAAUUGCUGUGAGCUGUAGGCUGUGAGCAGAGGUUCCUGCAGUGGAGGGGGGCAGGUGAAGAGGAAGGAGCUGAGACAGCGGACUAAUGAGGCUGAUUUACAGCCCUCUGUCUGGCUUCCCCUGCCAGGCCCCGCCCCGCCCUGCACAAAUCCAGGUCACUGCACUGAUGGAGAGGAAAUGGGAAGCUAAUUAGAUAAUGGGAGGUGAAAAUGGGAAAGAGGGCCGACUGGAAGGUGCAUAUUUAAUAAGUGCCUGAAGCAAGGCUGGGCGUAUGGGGCGAGGGCCCUGGGAGAGCGGCGUGACAAAAGGCAAGAGGAGGGGACGUCAAGGCCCACAGACGGGAACUGGGCCGCUAACAGAUUGUGCCAGCCUUUGAGUGGGGGCCUGUGACAAGGGGUUUAAGGGGGC